Molecule: unclassified non-coding RNA, 328 nt
Filed under: soil metagenome
Description: partial contains 5.8S ribosomal RNA, internal transcribed spacer 2, and large subunit ribosomal RNA
Rfam family: 5.8S ribosomal RNA (bases 1-120)
Source: RNAcentral
GAUGAAGAACGUAGCGAAAUGCGAUACGUAAUGUGAAUUGCAGAAUUCAGUGAAUCAUCGAAUCUUUGAACGCACAUUGCGCCCCUUGGUAUUCCGAGGGGCAUGCCUGUUCGAGCGUCAUUAUAACCCCUCAAGCUCAGCUUGGUGUUGGGGCCUGCCGCACGGGCAGCCCUUAAAAUCAGUGGCGGUGCUAUCUGGCUCUAAGCGUAGUAAUUCUUCUCGCUAUAGAGUCCCGGUGGAUGCUUGCCAUUAACCCCCAAUUUUCUAUGGUUGACCUCGGAUCAGGUAGGGAUACCCGCUGAACUUAAGCAUAUCAAUAAGCGGAGGA